GGUUAAGCGACUAAGCGUACACGGUGGAUGCCCUGGCAGUCAGAGGCGAUGAAGGACGUGCUAAUCUGCGAAAAGCGCCGGCGAGGUGAUAUGAACCUUUGACCCGGCGAUGUCCGAAUGGGGAAACCCAGUGUGUUCCGACACACUAUCGUUAACUGAAUACAUAGGUUAACGAGGCGAACCGGGGGAACUGAAACAUCUAAGUACCCCGAGGAAAAGAAAUCAACCGAGAUUCCCCCAGUAGCGGCGAGCGAACGGGGAGCAGCCCAGAGUCUGAAUCAGCUUGUGUGUUAGUGGAAGCGUCUGGAAAGUCGCACGGUACAGGGUGACAGUCCCGUACACGAAAGCACACAGGUUGUGAACUCGAAGAGUAGGGCGGGACACGUGGUAUCCUGUCUGAAUAUGGGGGGACCAUCCUCCAAGGCUAAAUACUCCUGACUGACCGAUAGUGAACCAGUACCGUGAGGGAAAGGCGAAAAGAACCCCGGCGAGGGGAGUGAAAAAGAACCUGAAACCGUGUACGUACAAGCAGUGGGAGCACCUUCGUGGUGUGACUGCGUACCUUUUGUAUAAUGGGUCAGCGACUUAUAUUCUGUAGCAAGGUUAACCGUAUAGGGGAGCCGAAGGGAAACCGAGUCUUAACUGGGCGUUAAGUUGCAGGGUAUAGACCCGAAACCCGGUGAUCUAGCCAUGGGCAGGUUGAAGGUUGGGUAACACUAACUGGAGGACCGAACCGACUAAUGUUGAAAAAUUAGCGGAUGACUUGUGGCUGGGGGUGAAAGGCCAAUCAAACCGGGAGAUAGCUGGUUCUCCCCGAAAGCUAUUUAGGUAGCGCCUCGUGAACUCAUCUUCGGGGGUAGAGCACUGUUUCGGCUAGGGGGCCAUCCCGGCUUACCAACCCGAUGCAAACUACGAAUACCGAAGAAUGUUAUCACGGGAGACACACGGCGGGUGCUAACGUCCGUCGUGAAGAGGGAAACAACCCAGACCGCCAGCUAAGGUCCCAAAGUCAUGGUUAAGUGGGAAACGAUGUGGGAAGGCACAGACAGCCAGGAUGUUGGCUUAGAAGCAGCCAUCAUUUAAAGAAAGCGUAAUAGCUCACUGGUCGAGUCGGCCUGCGCGGAAGAUGUAACGGGGCUAAACCAUGCACCGAAGCUGCGGCAGCGACGCUUAUGCGUUGUUGGGUAGGGGAGCGUUCUGUAAGCCGUUGAAGGUGGCCUGUGAGGGUUGCUGGAGGUAUCAGAAGUGCGAAUGCUGACAUAAGUAACGAUAAAGCGGGUGAAAAGCCCGCUCGCCGGAAGACCAAGGGUUCCUGUCCAACGUUAAUCGGGGCAGGGUGAGUCGACCCCUAAGGCGAGGCCGAAAGGCGUAGUCGAUGGGAAACAGGUUAAUAUUCCUGUACUUGGUGUUACUGCGAAGGGGGGACGGAGAAGGCUAUGUUAGCCGGGCGACGGUUGUCCCGGUUUAAGCAUGUAGGCGGAACGAUUAGGUAAAUCCGGUCGUUUUUUAACGCUGAGGUGUGAUGACGAGGCACUACGGUGCUGAAGUAACAAAUGCCCUGCUUCCAGGAAAAGCCUCUAAGCAUCAGGUAACAUCAAAUCGUACCCCAAACCGACACAGGUGGUCAGGUAGAGAAUACCAAGGCGCUUGAGAGAACUCGGGUGAAGGAACUAGGCAAAAUGGUGCCGUAACUUCGGGAGAAGGCACGCUGAUAUGUAGGUGAAGCCCCUGCGGGUGGAGCUGAAAUCAGUCGAAGAUACCAGCUGGCUGCAACUGUUUAUUAAAAACACAGCACUGUGCAAACACGAAAGUGGACGUAUACGGUGUGACGCCUGCCCGGUGCCGGAAGGUUAAUUGAUGGGGUUAGCGGCAACGCGAAGCUCUUGAUCGAAGCCCCGGUAAACGGCGGCCGUAACUAUAACGGUCCUAAGGUAGCGAAAUUCCUUGUCGGGUAAGUUCCGACCUGCACGAAUGGCGUAAUGAUGGCCAGGCUGUCUCCACCCGAGACUCAGUGAAAUUGAACUCGCUGUGAAGAUGCAGUGUACCCGCGGCAAGACGGAAAGACCCCGUGAACCUUUACUAUAGCUUGACACUGAACACUGGUCCUUGAUGUGUAGGAUAGGUGGGAGGCUUUGAAGCGUGGACGCCAGUCUGCGUGGAGCCGUCCUUGAAAUACCACCCUUUAAUGGCUGGUGUUCUAACGUAGACCCGUAAUCCGGGUUGCGGACAGUGUCUGGUGGGUAGUUUGACUGGGGCGGUCUCCUCCCAAAGAGUAACGGAGGAGCACGAAGGUUAGCUAAUCCUGGUCGGACAUCAGGAGGUUAGUGCAAUGGCAUAAGCUAGCUUGACUGCGAGAGUGACGGCUCGAGCAGGUGCGAAAGCAGGUCAUAGUGAUCCGGUGGUUCUGAAUGGAAGGGCCAUCGCUCAACGGAUAAAAGGUACUCCGGGGAUAACAGGCUGAUACCGCCCAAGAGUUCAUAUCGACGGCGGUGUUUGGCACCUCGAUGUCGGCUCAUCACAUCCUGGGGCUGAAGUAGGUCCCAAGGGUAUGGCUGUUCGCCAUUUAAAGUGGUACGCGAGCUGGGUUUAGAACGUCGUGAGACAGUUCGGUCCCUAUCUGCCGUGGGCGCUGGAGAAUUGAGGGGGGCUGCUCCUAGUACGAGAGGACCGGAGUGGACGCAUCACUGGUGUUCGGGUUGUCAUGCCAAUGGCACUGCCCGGUAGCUAAAUGCGGAAAAGAUAAGUGCUGAAAGCAUCUAAGCACGAAACUUGCCCCGAGAUGAGUUCUCCCUGAGACUUUAAGUCUCCUGAAGGAACGUUGAAGACGACGACGUUGAUAGGUCGGGUGUGUAAGCGCAGCGAUGCGUUGAGCUAACCGAUACUAAUGAACCGUGAGGCUUAACCUU
This 2906-nucleotide ribosomal RNA is filed under the name Enterobacter roggenkampii. Its description in RNAcentral is "23S ribosomal RNA". It matches the Rfam family "Bacterial large subunit ribosomal RNA". The record is from RNAcentral. Lineage: Bacteria; Pseudomonadati; Pseudomonadota; Gammaproteobacteria; Enterobacterales; Enterobacteriaceae.